This 229-nucleotide ribosomal RNA is filed under the name uncultured bacterium. Its description in RNAcentral is "partial 16S ribosomal RNA". It matches the Rfam family "Bacterial small subunit ribosomal RNA", at positions 104 to 334 of the family's 1533-position model. The record is from RNAcentral.
CGGGGUGAGUAAUGUCUGGGAAACUGCCUGAUGGAGGGGGAUAACUACUGGAAACGGUAGCUAAUACCGCAUAACGUCGCAAGACCAAAGAGGGGGACCUUCGGGCCUCUUGCCAUCGGAUGUGCCCAGAUGGGAUUAGCUAGUAGGUGGGGCAACGGCUCACCUAGGCGACGAUCCCUAGCUGGUCUGAGAGGAUGACCAGCCACACUGGAACUGAGACACGGUCCAG